GACGAACGCUGGCGGCGUGCUUAACACAUGCAAGUCGAACGGAAAGGCCCUGCUGUUGUGGGUUGCUCGAGGGGCGAACGGGUGAGUAACACGUAAGUAACCUUCCCUUGACUGUGGGAUAACUUCAGGAAACGGGAGUUCCUACCAGAUAGCAUCUCCUGCUGCAUGGUGGGGGUUGGAAUGUUUGGGCGGUUGGGGAUGGACUCGGGGCUUAUCAGCUUGUUGGUGGGGUAGUUGCUUACCAUGGCUUGGACGGGUAGCCGGCCUGAGCGGGGGACCGGCAACAUUGGGCCUGGGAUAGGGCCCAGACUCCUACGGGAGGCAGAAGGGGGGAAUAUUGCACAAUGGGGGGAAGCCUGAGGAAGAAACGCCGCGGGGGGGAUGCGGGCCUUGGGGUGGAAAACCGCUUCAGCAUGUGACGAAGCGGGAGUGACGGUAAUUGGUAAAGAAGCACCGGCUAACUACGUG
RNAcentral lists this ribosomal RNA (468 nucleotides) under uncultured bacterium. RNAcentral's name for it is "partial 16S ribosomal RNA". It matches the Rfam family "Bacterial small subunit ribosomal RNA", at positions 28 to 507 of the family's 1533-position model. The record is from RNAcentral.